GACUUUAAGUCAGUAAGGGUUGUUGUAGACUACGACGUAGAUAGGUUGGGUGUGUAAGUGUAGUGAUACAUUGAGCUAACCAAUACUAAUUGCCCGAGAGGCUUAACCAUACAACGCUCAAG
This 122-nucleotide ribosomal RNA is filed under the name Pasteurella multocida subsp. multocida. RNAcentral describes it as "partial 23S ribosomal RNA". It matches the Rfam family "Bacterial large subunit ribosomal RNA", at positions 2815 to 2925 of the family's 2925-position model. Lineage: Bacteria; Pseudomonadati; Pseudomonadota; Gammaproteobacteria; Pasteurellales; Pasteurellaceae. The record is from RNAcentral.